Long non-coding RNA from Gymnodraco acuticeps, 1580 nucleotides. RefSeq lists it as uncharacterized. The transcript has 6 exons. NCBI's taxonomy places the organism in Eukaryota, Metazoa, Chordata, Actinopteri, Perciformes, Bathydraconidae. The record is from RefSeq and is a predicted model, not a curated record.
GACUCCGAGCUGUCCGACUUCAGGCAAGCUUUUUGAGACCUCCCCCGGCUGCGAUCGGCUAUUCUCGUCUACUUUCGAGGCGAGCCGCAAUGCGUCUCAAACAAGCCUGUUCUAUCACACAUCACAUGCCUUCACCACAUGCUUCACCAGAGUCCGCCAUUAGCUCCUCGCCUCUGUUGAAAUCGCUCAGACUUUUAAGAAUACUUUGCCCACCGUGCUCUCACUGCCGGAAUCGCGAUCCUUUUUUUUUGGCCGCACUACUCUGGAAACUGAAGCAACUGGCAGAUAUAUGGCUUCUUCAAUCUGUGAAUGCAGACUACCUUUGCCGUGCGGCGCAAUGAGAUCAUCAAUGAUGAGCUACCUGUUGGAGAGAUCCUGGAACGCUGGCCUGCCUUGAAAAUGGAGUCACAGAGUUUCACAGGAUAACAAACCUCAACCUGAAGAACCACUUCUAUGCGGAGUUGGAUAGACAUGUCCUCCAUCUUUAGAGCCUGUUCAGGAAGAAGGCGGCAAGCAAGGAAAGGAAACUGAAGUUCUGGAUCAGCUAUCCGACUCAUAUGACCUCCAGGAACAAGGUGACGUCCAUGUCCUCCGUGCUGCUGUCCUCCGUGCUCUGCCUGCAUAUCUGCAUGAAGAUGACUCCACGUUUCCGAGGCUGUGGCAUGUGGAGCAGUCUGAUGAUCCAGACACAGAGGACAUCGCGGUCGGACUUCUCAUGAUCAGUACCAGGUCAACAGACACCACGCUCUUCUGCCCAGAGAGGAUCGCUGUUGUCAUUGAGGGUAACGGAGUUAUCGAACUCCCCACACUGGCUGACGCAUUCAUCCUGCUUUUUGCACUGACCUUUGCCCUGCAUCUGAGCUACCCAAAAUAAUAAUAAUAAUAAUAACUUGAAUUUAUAUAGCGCCUUUCAUAACCUCAAGGUCACUUUACAAAUAAACAUACACGGACAAGACAUAAAAAACAUAAACAUAAAACAGGGGGCAGAAAUGGAAGUGUAACUGGCCAACACUUUCGACUUCACCCAGAAAGUGUUGAUGGGCCUGGAUGAGGGGAACUUGAAGCCCUUGAAGCCCAGGGUGUUGAGCCUGAAAAAGCUUUUGGCAGUUUAAUCCUACCAACAAAGUUGCACUUUCACACACACACACACACACACACACACACACACACACACACACACACACACACACACACACACACACACACUGUUCUCCUCUGUUUACAUCCUGCUGCUUAACAUCUGUGUUCUGUUGUGUUCAUUGACAGAUUUGUUACUGUUCAGCUUCAAGUUGAAGGACUGUUCGUAGAUGUUGUUUUAUACUUUUAUAUGUAUUGGGUCUUUAUGGUCCAUGUGUUAAAUUAAUACGCAGAACUGUUCCUGAAAAUUGUGUUCACUCAUAAGUGAUGGUUAAAAUACACACAGAUAUUUCUCAAGGCCCUAGCACUGUUUUUAUUUAUUUAAGAGUUAAAUAUAUUGAAUUUGUAUUGUGCUAAAAUGCAUUGUUCUUUUAUAGUGGAAAUGGAAUGUUGGUGAUUUGCCAAAGCUUUUCAAAUUAUCAAUAAAUGCAUUUUUAUAUAUA